UAGUAAUUUGUUUCUGUUUUACAAUCAGAACUUGCAUUUUGCAUUACUAA
Molecule: transfer RNA, 50 nt
Filed under: Hygrobates turcicus
Lineage: Eukaryota; Metazoa; Arthropoda; Arachnida; Trombidiformes; Hygrobatidae
Description: tRNA-Val
Source: RNAcentral